RNAcentral lists this ribosomal RNA (266 nucleotides) under uncultured bacterium. RNAcentral's name for it is "partial 16S ribosomal RNA". It matches the Rfam family "Bacterial small subunit ribosomal RNA", at positions 335 to 616 of the family's 1533-position model. The record is from RNAcentral.
AUUCCUACGGGAGGCAGCAGUGGGGAAUAUUGCACAAUGGGCGAAAGCCUGAUGCAGCAACGCCGCGUGAAGGAAGAAGGCCUUCGGGUCGUAAACUUCUGUCCUUGGGGAAGAAGAACUGACGGUACCCAAGGAGGAAGCCCCGGCUAACUACGUGCCAGCAGCCGCGGUAAUACGUAGGGGGCAAGCGUUAUCCGGAAUUAGUGGGCGUAAAGAGUACGUAGGUGGCAACCUAAGCGCAGGGUUUACGGCAAUGGCGCAAACAU